GAGUGAGGUAGGCCAAUGAACAGCAGAACAAAGUGACAGACACAAACAUAACCCAGCCCUGGAGGAUCGGCACGGGGACGUUUGAGGAGGCCACGAGAAUCCAAACCAAACCCCCAAAGGCCUGGGAAACAGAACAGAAGAUGAAUGAUAUCAGGGUGUGGAGGAGAAACAGUAGAGCUGGAGAUUUGUUUUGAAGUUCAACAGUGCUGCUGUAUGAGGGCUGGAGCUCUAACAGGAGAACAGGUGAAGCAGGAAAAAUCAGAUAAUCCCAUGUAAAUCGAGUUAACACACAGUAAAUAAACUAGCAGCAUGUUUUAUUUGUUUUAGUGUUAUCUGUAUAUUUAUUUAAACAUUAUACUCUUUGGAAACUUCAGUGGUUUUGAUUCUGGUUGCUGAUAAUUAACUGUUCUGUCGAUGAGUAAAUAAUUCACAAUAUCCAAUUUUAUUCUUCAACCUUCUCAUUCAUUUAAUGGUUAUUCAUUUCUUUAUGUGUGAACAGGACAAAUAUCACUGUACAAGGAAAGCUUGCUCAUGUCACCAUAAAGUUCUUGAAUCUUGAAAUUGGGAUUUUAAUGAGAUUUGGUUUCGAGAUCUAAAGGUUUUAUAGACAAAUAAACAGCAGAUUCAACAGAUCAUAAACAUUUCUGUUCAUAAACACUGUAAUAUAUUACGCAUAACAAAUGACAGAGCUGAGGCUAAGAACACAGCUAGUGUCCUGUGAAAGAGCAUCUGAAGAAGUGUUUUUGUCUGUUAUCUGGUAAAGUGUAAAAGUGUACUGUAAGUAAGUGUAAAAGCUCAACAUUAAUAUCUUCUUAGUAUCUCUAUCUGAUUAACAUUUAGCGCUUGGGCCUUUUUAGAAAAGAGCUCCUUUAAGAAAUCUUUUGCUUGCUAACUUUUUGGUGUGUGACCGAGAUUUUGACGUUCAUGUGACGUUCCUCAGAGGAGAAGCGCGAGUGUGAAAUCAUGUGUGUGAGCACCUCGGUAUGGUUCCCUCUUCACCCCCUACAGGAGAACACACACUUACUAUCUCCAUGCAGAUCAGAGCUCCUGAGUAGGUCCGUAUGACAUCCAGCCCCAGCGGCAGGGAUAUGGUGGGUGCCGGGAAUGAGGUGGCCGCCGGGUUCGUUGCUUCUGCCAUCGUUCUGUAGUGGAACAGCAAGCAAGUGAGUGAAAGAGAGAAAGAGAGAGAGAGAAAGACAGGAGUGGAAGAAAUUCCGCAAGUGUCACGUGAUAUGCAGAACCGGUCCUGCAGGUGUGUGUGUGUGGAGCCACUCCUGCCCUCUGUCCUCAGUGUGGAAUGCAGGAGAGGACAAAAAGGCGUCUCAGCGUGUUAAUGAUUAACACAAAGCCUCAGCAUGGAACCGCUCUCGGGUCAAUAUUGUGUUAAGACAAUCGGAGGAGAUAACGAGCUCUCAGAAGGUGCUGACGUCAUCAGGUGAUGCUGAAGGACAUGUAAUUCGGGAUGAAAAAAAUUAAGACUUAACUGAAAAAAAUGGAGUAAAUUCAGUCUGUAUGAAGAGAAAUAAAACCCUUCAUGCUGUGUGUAUUAUUAUUAUUAUUAUUAUUAUUAUUAUUAUUAUUAUUAUUAUUAUUAUUAUUACAAUUCUAACAUCUGUGUGUUUGAUGUAUUCAUCUUUUCUUCAUAUAUAACUUAAACAUAGCUGAAAAACAGUUAGAGAUGAAUUAAUUAUUAGCCAAAAUCAACUCACUCAAUGUGUCAUUGACCUUUUAACCACACACACACACACACACACACACACACACACACACACACACACACACACACACACACACACACACACACACACACAGAUCUCAACACGAUAA
Tachysurus fulvidraco (yellow catfish) is the source of this 1827-nucleotide long non-coding RNA. RefSeq lists it as uncharacterized. The record is from RefSeq and is a predicted model, not a curated record. The transcript has 3 exons. NCBI's taxonomy places the organism in Eukaryota, Metazoa, Chordata, Actinopteri, Siluriformes, Bagridae.